RNAcentral lists this ribosomal RNA (448 nucleotides) under uncultured bacterium. RNAcentral describes it as "bacterial SSU rRNA". It matches the Rfam family "Bacterial small subunit ribosomal RNA", at positions 329 to 794 of the family's 1533-position model. The record is from RNAcentral.
UUCCAGACUCCUACGGGAGGCAGCAGUGGGGAAUAUUGCACAAUGGGGGAAACCCUGAUGCAGCGACGCCGCGUGAGCGAUGAAGUAUUUCGGUAUGUAAAGCUCUAUCAGCAGGGAAGAAGAUGACGGUACCUGGCUAAGAAGCCCCGGCUAACUACGUGCCAGCAGCCGCGGUAAUACGUAGGGGGCAAGCGUUAUCCGGAUUUACUGGGUGUAAAGGGAGCGUAGACGGCGAUGCAAGCCAGAUGUGAAAGCCCGGGGCUCAACCCCGGGACUGCAUUUGGAACUGUGUGGCUGGAGUGUCGGAGAGGCAGGCGGAAUUCCUAGUGUAGCGGUGAAAUGCGUAGAUAUUAGGAGGAACACCAGUGGCGAAGGCGGCCUGCUGGACGAUGACUGACGUUGAGGCUCGAAAGCGUGGGGAGCAAACAGGAUUAGAUACCCCGGUAUA